UGGGGAAUAUUGCACAAUGGAGGGAACUCUGAUGCAGCGACGCCGCGUGAACGAAGAAGGCUUUCGAUUCGUAAAGUUCUUUUAUAUGGGAAGAUAAUGACGGUACCAUAAGAAAAAGCCCCGGCUAACUACGUGCCAGCAGCCGCGGUAAUACGUAGGGGGCUAGCGUUGUCCGGAAUCACUGGGCGUAAAGGGUUCGCAGGCGGAAAUGCAAGUCAGGUGUAAAAGGCAGUAGCUUAACUACUGUAAGCAUUUGAAACUGCAUAUCUUGAGAAGAGUAGAGGUAAGUGGAAUUUUUAGUGUAGCGGUGAAAUGCGUAGAUAUUAAAAAGAAUACCGGUGGCGAAGGCGACUUACUGGGCUCAUUCUGACGCUGAGGAACGAAAGCGUGGGUAGCAAACAGG
Molecule: ribosomal RNA, 403 nt
Filed under: Fusobacteriota bacterium
Lineage: Bacteria; Fusobacteriati; Fusobacteriota
Description: Fusobacteria bacterium partial 16S ribosomal RNA
Rfam family: Bacterial small subunit ribosomal RNA
Source: RNAcentral